GUCCCCGUCGUCCAGAGGUCAGGACGUGGCCCUUUCAAGGCUAAAACACGGGUUCGAAUCCCGUCGGGGACGCCA
This 75-nucleotide transfer RNA is filed under the name Acidobacteriota bacterium. RNAcentral's name for it is "Acidobacteria bacterium (wastewater metagenome) tRNA-Glu". It matches the Rfam family "tRNA". From Rfam's summary of the family: Transfer RNA (tRNA) molecules are approximately 80 nucleotides in length. Their secondary structure includes four short double-helical elements and three loops (D, anti-codon, and T loops). Lineage: Bacteria; Pseudomonadati; Acidobacteriota. RNAcentral also lists the same sequence under 1 other name. The record is from RNAcentral.